Macaca mulatta (Rhesus monkey) is the source of this 349-nucleotide non-coding RNA. Lineage: Eukaryota; Metazoa; Chordata; Mammalia; Primates; Cercopithecidae. The record is from RefSeq and is a predicted model, not a curated record.
GGUCUCGAACUCCUGACCUCAAGCGAUCGGCCCGCCUCGGCCUCCCAAAGUGCCGGGAUGACAGGUGUGAGCCACCACGUCCCACCCGGAAGCGACGUUAGGCUUCAUCCGAUGGCCGGGAAGGAAUCAGAGCAGGGCUGAGUGGCAGGGGCUGGAGAGGAAGGAGCUCCAGGCUUGAAAGCCAUCAAAGCAGGUUGCUUUCGAGAUGGCCAGUGGUCACCUGAGAUGGAGCAGAGAGCAGCUGUGGAAUCCGUCCGUGAACCCUGCAGAGGCCUUCGUGCCUUAAGACAGACGGCGUCCUGCAGGCCUGCCAUGGAGACACCACGUGUGAUCGUAAAAAAAAAAAAAA